AACGAACGCUGGCGGCAGGCUUAACACAUGCAAGUCGAACGGAAUAUAUUGUGCUUGCACGAUAUAUCAGUGGCGCACGGGUGAGUAACGCGUAGGAAUCUGUCUAUUGGACUGGGAUAGCCUCUGGAAACGGAGGGUAAAACUGGGUAAGCCCUGAGGGGGAGACGAGCGAUCGGCCGAUAGAGGAGCCUGCGUUAGAUUAGGCAGUUGGUGGGGUAACGGCCUACCAAACCGACGAUCUAUAGCUGGUCUGAGAGGAUGAUCAGCCACAUUGGGACUGAGACACGGCCCAAACUCCUACGGGAGGCAGCAGUGGGGAAUAUUGGACAAUGGGGGAGACCCUGAUCCAGCCAUGCCGCGUGAGUGAAGACGGCCUUCGGGUUGUAAAGCUCUUUUACAUGGGAAGAUGAUGACGGUACCAUGAGAAUAAGCACCGGCAAACUUCGUG
RNAcentral lists this ribosomal RNA (448 nucleotides) under uncultured bacterium. RNAcentral's name for it is "bacterial SSU rRNA". It matches the Rfam family "Bacterial small subunit ribosomal RNA", at positions 29 to 507 of the family's 1533-position model. The record is from RNAcentral.